RNAcentral lists this transfer RNA (75 nucleotides) under bacterium. RNAcentral's name for it is "tRNA-Glu". It matches the Rfam family "tRNA". Rfam says of the family: Transfer RNA (tRNA) molecules are approximately 80 nucleotides in length. Their secondary structure includes four short double-helical elements and three loops (D, anti-codon, and T loops). Further hydrogen bonds mediate the characteristic L-shaped molecular structure. tRNAs have two regions of fundamental functional importance: the anti-codon, which is responsible for specific mRNA codon recognition, and the 3' end, to which the tRNAs corresponding amino acid is attached (by aminoacyl-tRNA synthetases). tRNAs cope with the degeneracy of the genetic code in two manners: having more than one tRNA (with a specific anti-codon) for a particular amino acid; and 'wobble' base-pairing, i.e. permitting non-standard base-pairing at the 3rd anti-codon position. The record is from RNAcentral.
GCUCCCAUCGUCUAGUGGUUAGGACACGGCCUUCUCAAGGCUGGGACCGGAGUUCAAUUCUCCGUGGGAGUACCA